RNAcentral lists this ribosomal RNA (486 nucleotides) under uncultured bacterium. RNAcentral's name for it is "partial 16S ribosomal RNA". It matches the Rfam family "Bacterial small subunit ribosomal RNA", at positions 30 to 507 of the family's 1533-position model. The record is from RNAcentral.
AUUGAACGCUGGCGGCAUGCCUUACACAUGCAAGUCGAACGGCAGCACGGGUGCUUGCACCUGGUGGCGAGUGGCGAACGGGUGAGUAAUACAUCGGAACAUGUCCUGUAGUGGGGGAUAGCCCGGCGAAAGCCGGAUUAAUACCGCAUACGAUCUACGGAUGAAAGCGGGGGACCUUCGGGCCUCGCGCUAUAGGGUUGGCCGAUGGCUGAUUAGCUAGUUGGUGGGGUAAAGGCCUACCAAGGCGACGAUCAGUAGCUGGUCUGAGAGGACGACCAGCCACACUGGGACUGAGACGCGGCCCAGACUCCUACGGGAGGCAGCAGUGGGGAAUUUUGGACAAUGGGCGAAAGCCUGAUCCAGCAAUGCCGCGUGUGUGAAGAAGGCCUUCGGGUUGUAAAGCACUUUUGUCCGGAAAGAAAUCCUUGGCCCUAAUACGGUCGGGGGAUGACGGUACCGGAAGAAUAAGCACCGGCUAACUACGUG